GUUAAAAUGCUAUCUCCACAUUAAUUAGCCCACAUAAGCCCCACAAUUCAGGGCCCGCCAUCAUGGAUAUCCCUCUCCUCUCCAGCGCUGCCUUUCUAUUCUUUAUUCACCUUAGGGGCUUUUAUUCAGAGAGAUGGGUUCUCUGCAUGUUGUCUGGACUGGCUUUGAACCCCUGGGCUCAAGUCAUCCUUCUGCCUCAGCCUCCCAAGUAGCUGGCACUAUAGGGGUGCACCACAGUGCCUAGCUUACAUGGAGAGCUUGUGGGUUUGCCCAGUGCAAGCUCCCAGCCUUGGCUGUGCAAGGACACCCUGUUCUCUCUUAGAGUUUUCUCAUAUACACUUCAAUGCACGUUUAUAGUGACCAAAGCAAAUGACUUUGACCACACUUCAAAUAUCACUCCAUGCCUCUGCUUACAUGAAGAAUCUUUAUUGUGUUUCUGAUUAAAAAUGUCAUAUACCCAUGUAUUUAUACAAAAUGUAGGUUACUAGAAAGCUUCUCAGAACACAUACUACCAGAGAAAAAGCAUAGUUAAGGUUGGGUGCACAGUCUGCCAACUUUUUCUUCAUGGAAAUAUGUGAUGUUCUUCCACACACAUUUUUCCUCUAAGCCUGCUGCCUCCUAAACUAGAUAUUAAGUCAGUUGUGCUUUUAUGCAGUUGACUCAAGGCCGAGUAGGAGAUAACUUCCUUAACAAGAAGCAGGAGACAGAUAGCACAAGAGCAAUCUUUCCUACCUACUUUUUAGUGAUUUUAGCUUUCUCUUCUCUCUCCUCUGCUGUCUUCAUUGCUUGAAACUUCUCUGUUGCCAAACCAAGCUGCAGAAGCAGGUGGAGAGGAGUCAAACACCAGCCCAGCCCUGUGUCCAAACAGUGGGAAGGCCAGAUGUUGGUGACAGGAUCUUGGCUCAUGGUGGAGGCGACUGGAAAUAACAAAGUGAGGGCUGUGGAGGAAGGGGCACCAUGGGCAGAGAGCCUGGGGGCUGUUCGCUGCCAAUACCUGGCAUAGCUGUGUAAGAAGCCACAGGGGAAGUGCUUGCUUCUGAGGAGGAGCAGUGCAAGGCUGUCCUGUAACCCUCAGCCUGUACUGGACUCAGGAGGAGUGCAUAACAGCCCUGGCUGAACUGCCUGGAGAAUCACCAACAUUCCACAGGUCUUUUUCCUGGGUUUGUUGAGCUUGAUUGCAGCAAGGGGCUGGCUAGGAACGUCCCAGUUUCCUACUGCUAGGUCACAGGCACUCAGUUUCUCUACCUGUUUCUGUAACUUGACGGGAUGGGAGAAGGUGUGGGUAUCUUUCUUUUCCACAGAUGUGUGAUGCUGGUUGGAUGUUCAGGAGCCUUUUAUUCACCUGGUCAGACCUCAUCAGACUGCUGGAGUUAUGAGCCAGCUCUGGCUAAAGUGCGCCAGAACCAAGGAAAGAGGUAUUGGGUAUGAGGCACUGUGAUGUGAAGGUGUGAGACCGCAGACCUGCUGGAAGACCAUCAGAGAAAAGGCUGAUGUCCUGGGGAAUGAGCAGAGCAUGGCUGAUAAGGGAGAAAUAUCCAGAGCUGGACUGAGUGGAAUCAAAGCCUAUACCCUUUCACAAGCUAUGGGAACUUGGGAAAGUUUCUUUGUUGUUGUUGUUCAGAAAUUUUAAAAAUUGUACUAAAAUAUAUAACAAAAUUUGUCAUUUUAAUCCCUGUAAGUGUAAAAUCCAGGGAGCAUUAAUUAUAUCACAAUGUUGCACAACACCAACGAUACCUAUUUUAAAAAAUUUCCAGGAGUCCAAAUAGAUAUUUUGUACUCAUUAAGCAAUAACUCCCUAAUCUUCCUUUCCCAAGCCACAGUUACCUUUAAUCUACUUUCUGUCCCCAUAAAUCAGUCUAUUAUUGAUAUUUCAUAUAAUUGGAGUCAUACAGUGUUUGUUUUUUGUGUCCAGCAUAUCUCCCUCAGUGUGAUGUUUUCAUGGUUUACCCGUGCUGUAGCAUUUAGCAGAUCUUUAUUUCCUUGUGUGGAUAAACAGUAUUUUAGCUAAA
Chinchilla lanigera (long-tailed chinchilla) is the source of this 2009-nucleotide long non-coding RNA. RefSeq lists it as uncharacterized. The record is from RefSeq and is a predicted model, not a curated record. The transcript has 2 exons. Lineage: Eukaryota; Metazoa; Chordata; Mammalia; Rodentia; Chinchillidae.